UGUAAAGAUGUGGGCUGUGUUCUAGUGCUUUGGUAAUGUAGGUGAGCAAGCCUGUCUUUAGAAAAGCAUUGAUUUAGUUCAUUUUGGAUAACGGAGAAGCCAUCUAGAGGGUUUGGGAAGUCACCGUGCUAUGACUGAUUGUACCCUGGAACCAUCUGAGCAAAUACGGACCUCGCAGAAAGCAUCAGCAACCCCCGAUCCAUCAAGGCUCUGCUAAACAAACCCCAACAAUUUACAACGUGACCUCACGUUGUGCCUGUAAAUGGAUUCUGUGAAAGGCCUUUCCCCAGGAUAAAUCUCCUAGCCCAGACGUGGGAGAACCAGACAUGAUGCUUCUGUAGAGAACGUAUUGCAGGUGGACAAACAUGCAUUGAAAUCUCUUUUUCUGUCUGUGCAUGCGCAUGCUGCAUAACAUUAAAGGUGACCAGAUCCAUUGA
Pezoporus occidentalis (night parrot) is the source of this 437-nucleotide long non-coding RNA. RefSeq lists it as uncharacterized. The transcript has 3 exons. Lineage: Eukaryota; Metazoa; Chordata; Aves; Psittaciformes; Psittacidae. The record is from RefSeq and is a predicted model, not a curated record.